This is a non-coding RNA of Schizosaccharomyces pombe (fission yeast), 589 nucleotides long. Lineage: Eukaryota; Fungi; Ascomycota; Schizosaccharomycetes; Schizosaccharomycetales; Schizosaccharomycetaceae. The record is from the annotation of a GenBank genome assembly.
UCUAAAUCGUAAUCAAUGCCACUAAAAGCCUCAUAUAAGCAUCGCAAAUGACAAUCUUCUAUACGGAAACCGCAUUUGCGGCCUGGUUCAUGCGAAACUUUUUCCAAAUAUCUAAUCGAGUUGUUAGUAUGAUAUUUAUGGGUGAUGCUACAAAAUUGACACUUACAAAUCUUGAUAGGUGUUUUUGGAGUAUGAAAAAUACUUGCUCCCAUCUUUUUCUCCAGCAAGAGGACUAAAAGGCGUAGUAUCCUCUGCUACUUGCUGAACAUCAGAUAGAAGAAUUGAAGAUGAACGUGAAAUGUUUGAAACCGAAGAGGCAAUGUUUUCUUGUUGCUUUUUAAGGGAAUCAGAUAGUUGGAUAAUUUUGUUAGGAUCUUUUCCUGAUGUAGCUAAAUCAAAAAUAAUUUGUUGCUCAACCUGUUCACGUCUUUCCUUUUCUUUUUGAUGCUCACGUAUAGCCGCUUCUCUUGCUUCUUGCUUUUGGCGUUUGAGAAGAAUCUCGUUUUGAGCCAAAAUGCGUGCUUCUGCGGCGGCUCUUGCAGAAUUUGCUGCUAUAGAAUCUCGAUUUUGUUUUUCAUAUUGUUUAACU